Pimephales promelas (fathead minnow) is the source of this 525-nucleotide long non-coding RNA. RefSeq lists it as uncharacterized. The record is from RefSeq and is a predicted model, not a curated record. Lineage: Eukaryota; Metazoa; Chordata; Actinopteri; Cypriniformes; Leuciscidae.
GUUUACAUUCCAGCGGUCAGAGUAAAGCCGUGGGUUUGUUCAGCGUCGUGUCCAGGUGCAGAGGGAUCGCUCAGAAGCCAUUUCCUCAAUAACAUCAUCAUCCAGGAAGUGACAUCAUUUUGGAGGGAAAACAACAGCACAAACAUCGUCAUGCAUUGUACCUGGUGCUGUCGGGCUAAUAAACGCCGUUUAAAUAUUCAUGGGAUGUUCGUUACAGUGAACUCUAAUGUCACUCCACAUCAGUCCAUUGAACUCGAACAACAACGAGAAGUGAAUAAACAAAUUGGACCAGGGUCGUGACCUGCGGUGUAUGCAACAGGUCUGCAUAUAAACAUCAGGUCCUGUUUCAGCUGUGAGCAAACAAAGCUUGCUUGAAGAUAGUGAAGACGUGAAGUCAACGCAGCGGAGACGUGAUUGGCUGGAGCUUCGUCUCUCGCGUUCAGUUCCUGUUCAUCUCUGAGUGAGGGAAAAGAGACUCAUCCAAAGUAGGGAACAGACUUCAAGACUUCAUUCAUUUAUUGCUGA